CAGCCGCCGCGGGAAAACGGAGGAUCCGAGCGUUAUCCGGAAUUAUUGGGUUUAAAGGGUGCGUAGGCGGACAGAUAAGUCAGUGGUGAAAGACGGUGGCUCAACCAUCGCAGUGCCGUUGAUACUGUUUAUCUUGAAUAUGGAUGAGGUAGGCGGAAUGUGGCAAGUAGCGGUGAAAUGCAUAGAUAUGCCACAGAACACCGAUUGCGAAGGCAGCUUACCAAGGCAAAAUUGACGCUGAGGCACGAAAGCGUGGGGAUCGAACAGGAUUAGAUACCCGAGUAGUCCCUGUCUCUUAUAC
RNAcentral lists this ribosomal RNA (301 nucleotides) under uncultured bacterium. Its description in RNAcentral is "partial 16S ribosomal RNA". It matches the Rfam family "Bacterial small subunit ribosomal RNA", at positions 509 to 807 of the family's 1533-position model. The record is from RNAcentral.